UUAUUUCAAACUUAUCGAAAUAACAGCCCAUCGUUAUUCAAUCGAGGUCUAACCCUUCUCUUUUUUGGCGAAGGCCCUUGGCCUUAAAGGGUGUUAUUUAGAACUUAUGAAUAUAACAGCCCAUCGUCGUUCGAUCGAGAUUGAACCCUUCUCUUUUUUGCCGAAGGCAUUUGACCUUAAAGGGUGUUAUUUCAAACUUAUCGAAAUAACAUCCCGUCAUCGACCUUCUUUUUUUUGGCGAAUGCCCUUGGCCUUAAAGAGUGUUAUUUCGAACUUAUCAAAAUAACAGCCCAUCAUUGUUCGAUCGAGGUCAAACCCUUCUCUUUUUUGGCGAAGGCCUUUGGACUUAAAGGGUGUUAUUUCAAACUUAUCGAAAUAACAUCCCGUCAUCGACCUUCU
This 399-nucleotide long non-coding RNA is filed under the name Nicotiana tabacum (common tobacco). RNAcentral's name for it is "long non-coding RNA (NTAB_LNC002409)". Lineage: Eukaryota; Viridiplantae; Streptophyta; Magnoliopsida; Solanales; Solanaceae. The record is from RNAcentral.